UACGUAGGGGGCAAGCGUUGUCCGGAAUCAUUGGGCGUAAAGAGCGUGUAGGCGGCUUGGUAAGUCCGCUGUGAAAGUCCAGGGCUCAACCCUGGAAUGCCGGUGGAAACUGUCAAGCUUGAGUCCGGAAGAGGCGAGUGGAAUUCCUGGUGUAGCGGUGAAAUGCGCAGAUAUCAGGAGGAACACCAACGGCGAAAGCACUCUGCUGGGCCGACACUGACACUGAGAGACGAAAGCUAGGGGAGCAAAUGGG
RNAcentral lists this ribosomal RNA (253 nucleotides) under uncultured bacterium. RNAcentral's name for it is "partial 16S ribosomal RNA". It matches the Rfam family "Bacterial small subunit ribosomal RNA", at positions 524 to 776 of the family's 1533-position model. The record is from RNAcentral.